UACGUAGGAUCCAAGCGUUGUCCGGAUUUACUGGGUGUAAAGGGUGCGCAGGCGGACUUGUUAGUCAGAGGUGAAAUCUCACGGCUCAACCGUGAAACUGCCUUUGAUACUGCAGGUCUUGAAUUGGGGAGAGAGUUGUGGAAUUCCGAGUGUAGCAGUGAAAUGUGUAGAUAUUCGGAAGAACACCAGUGGCGAAGGCGGCUUCCUGGACCAAUACUGACGAUCAGGUGCGAAAGCGUGGGGAGCAAACAGG
Molecule: ribosomal RNA, 253 nt
Filed under: uncultured bacterium
Lineage: Bacteria
Description: partial 16S ribosomal RNA
Rfam family: Bacterial small subunit ribosomal RNA
Source: RNAcentral